CACUGUGGAAUUCGCCCUUAGAGUUUGAUCCUGGCUCAGAACGAACGCUGGCGGCGUGCCUAACACAUGCAAGUCGAACGGAAUUAAGGGGCUUGCUCCUUAAUUUAGUGGCGCACGGGUGAGUAACGCGUAGAUAAUCUGCCUGAUGAUCUGGGAUAACACUUCGAAAGGGGUGCUAAUACCGGAUAAGCCCACGGAGUCUUUGGAUUCUGCGGGAAAAGGGGGGGACCUUCGGGCCUUCUGUCAUCAGAUGAGUCUGCGUACCAUUAGCUAGUUGGUGGUGUAAUGGACCACCAAGGCUACGAUGGUUAGCUGGUCUGAGAGGAUGAUCAGCCACACUGGAACUGAGAUACGGUCCAGACUCCUACGGGAGGCAGCAGUGGGGAAUUUUGCGCAAUGGGGGAAACCCUGACGCAGCAACGCCGCGUGAGUGAUGAAGGCCUUCGGGUCGUAAAGCUCUGUCAGAGGGAAAGAAGUGUAUUAUGGCUAAUAUCCAUGAUACUUGACGGUACCCUCAAAGGAAGCACCGGCUAAC
Molecule: ribosomal RNA, 535 nt
Filed under: uncultured bacterium
Lineage: Bacteria
Description: bacterial SSU rRNA
Rfam family: Bacterial small subunit ribosomal RNA
Source: RNAcentral